This 440-nucleotide ribosomal RNA is filed under the name uncultured bacterium. Its description in RNAcentral is "partial 16S ribosomal RNA". It matches the Rfam family "Bacterial small subunit ribosomal RNA", at positions 338 to 795 of the family's 1533-position model. The record is from RNAcentral.
CCUACGGGGGGCAGCAGUGGGGAAUAUUGCACAAUGGGGGAAACCCUGAUGCAGCGACACCGCGUGAGUGAAGAAGUAAUUCGUUAUGUAAAGCUCUAUCAGCAGGGAAGAAAAUGACGGUACCUGAGUAAGAAGCCCCGGCUAACUACGUGCCAGCAGCCGCGGUAAUACGUAGGGGGCAAGCGUUAUCCGGAUUUACUGGGUGGAAAGGGAGCGUAGACGGCAGUGCAAGUCUGGAGUGAAAGGCGGGGGCUCAACCCCCGGACUGCUCUGGAAACUGUACGGCUGGAGUGCAGGAGAGGUAAGUGGAAUUCCUAGUGUAGCGGUGAAAUGCGUAGAUAUUAGGAGGAACACCAGUGGCGAAGGCGGCUUACUGGACUGUAACUGACGUUGAGGCUCGAAAGCGUGGGGAGCAAACAGGAUUAGAUACCCUUGUAGUC